RNAcentral lists this ribosomal RNA (506 nucleotides) under uncultured bacterium. Its description in RNAcentral is "bacterial SSU rRNA". It matches the Rfam family "Bacterial small subunit ribosomal RNA", at positions 36 to 524 of the family's 1533-position model. The record is from RNAcentral.
ACCUGGCGGCGUGCUAAUCAUGCAAGUCGACUCGACGGACGAGAAGCUUGCUUCUCUGAUGUUAGCGGCGGACGGGUGAGUAACACGUGGAUAACCUACCUAUAAGACUGGGAUAACUUCGGGAAACCGGAGCUAAUACCGGAUAAUAUUUUGAACCGCAUGGUUCAAAAGUGAAAGACGGUCUUGCUGUCACUUAUAGAUGGAUCCGCGCUGCAUUAGCUAGUUGGUAAGGUAACGGCUUACCAAGGCAACGAUGCAUAGCCGACCUGAGAGGGUGAUCGGCCACACUGGAACUGAGGCACGGUCCAGACUCCUACGGGAGGCAGCAGUAGGGAAUCUUCCGCAAUGGGCGAAAGCCUGACGGAGCAACGCCGCGUGAGUGAUGAAGGUCUUCGGAUCGUAAAACUCUGUUAUUAGGGAAGAACAUAUGUGUAAGUAACUGUGCACAUCUUGACGGUACCUAAUCAGAAAGCCACGGCUAACUACGUGCCAGCAGCCGCGGUAAU